Molecule: long non-coding RNA, 408 nt
Filed under: Bos indicus x Bos taurus (hybrid cattle)
Lineage: Eukaryota; Metazoa; Chordata; Mammalia; Artiodactyla; Bovidae
Description: lncRNA (ENSBIXG00005029344.1)
Source: RNAcentral
GCGAGAGCAAUUUGCACACCCAACAGCAGCAUAGCCUGACCUCAAACUUCUUUUCUUUGUAGGAAGCCCUGUAGCAGUCCCGGAGUGAUGGGACUCCCUGCCUGGCCUGAGAUACCCAGUUAGCACCUGCGAAUCAGAAUUUCCUCUUCGCAGCAAUAAAGCAUCCAGCCUUUGCAUCUGUGACAGCCUCCCCUGUAAUUUAUGCAUUCUAUGGAAUCUUUCCUGGUGAUUCAAGAUAGGACUCUGUCACAUGUGCUGCCAGGACCCUUUGUCUCAGGACCAAGAGAAAGAGACAGGGAAGGUAAUGUAGAACAAGCCCUGUCUGACCCAGACCUUCUCUCUUCUCGUCCAUUUGCUUCUAGGCACAAGCCCUGAAUUUUCCCUAUGCAGACUGCCUUUAUCUCACCC